This is a long non-coding RNA of Gossypium arboreum, 246 nucleotides long. RefSeq lists it as uncharacterized. Lineage: Eukaryota; Viridiplantae; Streptophyta; Magnoliopsida; Malvales; Malvaceae. The transcript has 3 exons. The record is from RefSeq and is a predicted model, not a curated record.
AAGGACAAGACAAAGUCAACGGGGUUAGCUCGAAAAUUACGGUCUAGUAAAGAUAGAACGUUGAAUCAGCAUCCCAGUUCGAUCCCGAAUUCAUUAAGAUUAUCGGGAGUUCGAUCGGUUCACACUAUCCAACAGUCAAUUUGGUAGUUUUUGAGUAUUUUGACCAAGAUUUAUGAUGACAUGUAUAGGGUGAUGAUAUGUAAUGGUAUAUUGGCGAAUGUGUUAAUGGUAUUUUGGCAUAUAUAA